Molecule: long non-coding RNA, 1708 nt
Organism: Bombyx mori (domestic silkworm)
Lineage: Eukaryota; Metazoa; Arthropoda; Insecta; Lepidoptera; Bombycidae
Exons: 4
Source: RefSeq, a predicted model, not a curated record
GACUGUCCUAUUCUGUGCAGAUGAAUUCAUCCACCAACUAAUACAAAGCGGGCUCUGAAUUCUCUCGCGCAGAUCAAUAAAAAUAAACGUCUCAAAAAGCAAAAAGCUUAAUUCGAAGAUGUUAUUCCAAUGCUUGUCAGAUCAGACGAGCGUCUCGUAAUCCUUGUAUGUAAUAAUUGAUGAAGAGCCGCGGAAGCUAGGAGAGAAACAGAGAAGGAUAGAAAGCUCUUUAUUGCAUACUAGCUGACCCGGCAGACUUCGUAGUGCCUCAAUCGAUAAAUAAAAGACCUAAACUUCUGUAUAAAAUAAACUUAAAACAAACAACGUCAACGGAAAAACAAAAUUGUUAUUUUUAUUUAAAUUGGAGCAUUUUCAUAUUUAUCUACCUUUUAAACCUUCUCUGGACUUCCACAAAUAAUUCAAGACCAAAAUUAGCCAAAUCGGUCCAGCCGUUCUCGAGUUUUAGCGAGACUAACGAACAGCAAUUCAUUUUUAUAUAUAUAGAGAGAUAAAGAAACGUAUACAAGAAUGUACUCUUUUAAAGUCGUCGUGGCCUAAACGAUAAGACGCUCGGUGUACGCGGAUCUAGCGAUGCGACUGUGCCAGUAUUCGAAUCCUGCAAGCAGGAUAACGUCUGUCGGGUCCGCUGGUUUAAUAUAAUACUUGUAAUUUCACAUUGAAAGCCACCGCAGUACAACGUGCUCGUAAUGCUAACAUCCGCCUUCAAUGAAGAACAUCGCUCGUCGUGGCUGCGUGGUUGGAAGCGACGUGGUUGAAUGCGAGCAGUGAUGAUGAGACGCAACCCUGUCCAUCGCCAGCCACGACUACUUCGCCAAGAUUAUUCGACAAGGAAGAAUACCACAUCACCUUUUAAUACUUGCCGGACCUCACUGCAGUGCAGAGGGGCCUCCGGUAGCCCGUUAACGCUGGAUAAGCGACAGCCAACGAAGUGGACCGACGACCUGGUCAAACUGGCUGGUAGGAACUGGAUGCGGAAGGCAAGAGACCGAAGAGAAUGAGGUGCAUAGACCUACACUCAGCAUUGCGUGCAUACGGGUUGAAGAAGAGAAGCUCUCAUGGGUUGAUAGUACCUGCUACUCCUGCUACUGCUGCUAAACAUUUUAAAUAUUUCAAAUCGUAUUACUUAUUUUGAUUGCAACAAAACUGGAAAUCGAUUCUUAAUGUUAACACCUAUACGAAGUGCCCUAGGACAAAAUUCAACAAUAGUCAAGGUUUCAUCAUCAUCAGCCCACAGUCGUCCACUGCUGGAUAUGGACGGCUACCAAUCCACACAACUGAGCCCGGUCUUCGACUCUCCUCAUCCACUUCUUGCCGGCAACCGUUCGGAGCUCAUCACACCACCUAGGCAGAGGGCGUCUCACGUUACGUUUUCUCCACUACAAGUCUCCACUCGAGAACCCGUCUGCUCCAGCGAUCGUCAAUUCUCCGGCAUAUAUGGCCAGCCCACAGCCACUUCAGCUUGCUGACUCUUUGACUAUGUCGAUGACUCUAGUUCUCUGUCGAAUAACCUCAUUCCUGAUUUCAUUCUUCAGAGAAACUCCAAGCAUGGCUCUUUCCAUGACCACCUUGAGCUGAUGGACCAAUCGAACUGUGAGGGUCCAGGUUUACCUAUUUUUUUAUUAUCUCAAAAAAAAUGAAAAUGAUAUUAUACCCUCAACUCAGCAAAUAAAACAUGAUUCAAAUCUGA